This 524-nucleotide ribosomal RNA is filed under the name uncultured bacterium. Its description in RNAcentral is "partial 16S ribosomal RNA". It matches the Rfam family "Bacterial small subunit ribosomal RNA", at positions 28 to 523 of the family's 1533-position model. The record is from RNAcentral.
GUCGAACGCUGGCGGCGUGCUUAACACAUGCAAGUCGAACGAGACGAUUGAAAGCUUGCUUUCGAAAGUCGAGUGGCAAACGGGUGAGUAACGCGUAGACAACCUGCCUUUGAGAUGGGGACAACAGUUCGAAAGGACUGCUAAUACCGAAUGUUGUAUAUUUUCCACAUGGAAGAUAUAUUAAAGAUGGCCUCUAUUUAUAAGCUACCGCUCAAAGAUGGGUCUGCGUCUGAUUAGCUAGUUGGUGGGGUAACGGCCUACCAAGGCGACGAUCAGUAGCCGGUCUGAGAGGACGAACGGCCACAUUGGGACUGAGACACGGCCCAGACUCCUACGGGAGGCAGCAGUGGGGAAUCUUCCACAAUGGACGAAAGUCUGAUGGAGCAACGCCGCGUGAGUGAAGAAGGGUUUCGGCUCGUAAAGCUCUGUUGUCGGGGACGAAUGUGCAGUAUUUGAAUAAAGUACUGUAAUGACGGUACCUGACGAGGAAGCCACGGCUAACUACGUGCCAGCAGCAGCCGCAG